CAAAAGUUGACAUUUUUAUAUGAUUCAGAGUACAUCUAACUCCAGUGUUCUGGCUCUCUAGAAAUGAAUAAGAAGUCAAUAUGUCAUCCAUUGGGACUUGGUACCCUGAAAGAAAAUGCCCAUGAAGAUGAUGAAUUGGUGGAAAGACUUAGAAGCAGGGUCUUGGCCCUUAGGUGGAGAUGCCAAGGUCUACUUCUGAUGAAGGAAAGAAAGCCGUUAGCAUGUCCAAGCUUCUCUAGAAUGCCUCUGAUCAGCCAAAGCCAGAUGACACUUAAGAUCAUCCAGGAAUGUGGACCUGGGUAUGAUUAUACUAAGUGAGUGGUCAUGCAUGGAUGUGAAAGUUGGACUGUGAAGAAAGCUGAGCACCGAAGAAUUGAUGCUUUUGAACUGUGGUGUUGGAGAAGACUCUUGAGAGUCCCUUGGACUGCAAGGAGAUCCAACCAGUCCAUUCUAAAGGAGAUGAGCCCUGGGAUUUCUUUGGAAGGAAUGAUGCUAAAACUGAAACUCCAGUACUUUGGCCAACUCAUGCGAAGAGUUGAC
This is a long non-coding RNA of Bos taurus (domestic cattle), 540 nucleotides long. NCBI's taxonomy places the organism in Eukaryota, Metazoa, Chordata, Mammalia, Artiodactyla, Bovidae. The record is from Ensembl.